Molecule: unclassified non-coding RNA, 383 nt
Filed under: uncultured Eubacteriales bacterium
Lineage: Bacteria; Bacillati; Bacillota; Clostridia; Eubacteriales
Description: contains 16S-23S intergenic spacer region
Source: RNAcentral
UCCGCGUUAACCACGGCAGUCUUGCUAGAGUGCUCAACUAAAUGGUAGCAACUAACAAUAAGGGUUGCGCUCGUUGCGGGACUUAACCCAACAUCUCACGACACGAGCUGACGACAACCAUGCACCACCUGUCUUCCUGUCCUCCCCGAAGGGAGAACUUCCUCGAUUAAGAGUAAUGCAGGAGAUGUCAAGUCUAGGUAAGGUUCUUCGCGUUGCUUCGAAUUAAACCACAUGCUCCGCUGCUUGUGCGGGCCCCCGUCAAUUCCUUUGAGUUUUAAUCUUGCGACCGUACUCCCCAGGCGGGGUACUUAUUGUGUUAACGGCGGCACAGGGGGAGUCGAUACCCCCUACACCUAGUACCCAUCGUUUACGGCGUGGACUAC